GGGAGAUGACGGCUGAAAAAUCUGAAAAAGCUACGGCAAGGAAGAGUCUUAGGAUAGCUGGGGUUACGGGCUGAGGGUUGAGAAGAGAAAAAUCUUGAGAGCAAGGAGGAGACCAGAGGGACUCUAGUGACGGCUGAGAAAGAAUAGAGAGAAACUGAAGGAGAAAGGGAAGAGCUUUGGGAGGAUGAAGAUCUGAAAAAGGGGAGGAACCCGAGAGAUAGAAAGACAGGAAAAGGGAAAGAAAAGGGGGACGGCGGCUGGAGCAAGAAAAACUGAGAAACAAGAGAGGCGACGGCAGAGGGAAAAAACCGAGAGCUUUGUGAAGAAAGAGUGAAAAUAACCGAGGGGAGAGCUGAGUAGAGUUGGCGGCUGUGGGGGUUUAGAAACAAAAACCAAAGAGAGAGGGGGAGGGUUAACGGAAGAAAGGAAAGGAAGAAGGAAGCGGCGGCUGAACAAGAAGAAACGUUGCUGUGUUCCAGAAAUUUCUUCACCAGAAAUCUGUGGCGUUGAAGUCGACGUCCUCACACAAUUUCUUCGUUUCUGCUUUGUUCACGGGAUCCCAUAAGGUGCUAAAGGUAAUCCCUUUACUUCAUAUCUUCAAGCAAGCCCAGCAGAUUUGAGGUUUAUGUAGGUUUGGAAUUAGUUUUUGACUCAUUCUUGCCGUUUAUUCUUGCUGUUUCUGUUUGUUUCUGUUUGUGUGUUCUUUCAUUUCUGUUUUCCGCAUGACCUUCAAUGGUUUGUCUCCUGCAUUUUUGUGUUGUGUUUGGGAGUUUUAUGGAUUUGGAUGACUAGUUUUCUGGUUUGGUUUGAAGGUCCGAGAGAAUGAAAUGGUUGCUUCAUGGUCCGAGAAUGAAAUGUUUG
This 861-nucleotide long non-coding RNA is filed under the name Coffea arabica (coffee). Its description in RNAcentral is "long non-coding RNA (CARA_LNC000117)". The record is from RNAcentral. Lineage: Eukaryota; Viridiplantae; Streptophyta; Magnoliopsida; Gentianales; Rubiaceae.